AUGUCAAGGCUAGGGUAUUUUCUAAGCAAAUUUUUGAACAUCUCUCAUGCCUCAGGAUAGCUCUCGAAAUCUUUCUACUUGAAAAUGUAGAUUUCAUUCCUGAUUU
RNAcentral lists this small nucleolar RNA (106 nucleotides) under Olea europaea subsp. europaea. RNAcentral's name for it is "Plant small nucleolar RNA R71". It matches the Rfam family "Plant small nucleolar RNA R71". From Rfam's summary of the family: R71 is a member of the C/D box family of snoRNAs containing the C (UGAUGA) and D (CUGA) box motifs. Multiple nearly identical copies of this snoRNA have been identified in Arabidopsis, and it is thought to function as a 2'-O-ribose methylation guide for 18S ribosomal RNA. Lineage: Eukaryota; Viridiplantae; Streptophyta; Magnoliopsida; Lamiales; Oleaceae. The record is from Rfam by way of RNAcentral.